Molecule: long non-coding RNA, 393 nt
Organism: Centropristis striata (black sea bass)
Lineage: Eukaryota; Metazoa; Chordata; Actinopteri; Perciformes; Serranidae
Exons: 3
Source: RefSeq, a predicted model, not a curated record
UUGACUCUUGGACUCCACCUCCUUGUCUUUGCUCUUUUUUGGCAGGAACAUGACUGGCAGAAGGGAAUAACAGGGAUACAUGCUUCAUGGACAUGGUGGGCUGGGUGCUCGGCUCAGCGCCCCCCAGUGGCAGCCGGCUGACCUGCAGCGAGCGGAAAUUGCACUUCAGAGUGUUUUUGGAGGAGGAGUCCCGCUUCUCCAUGUCUUUCUUCCUUUCUGUUGGAGCCACCCAGUAGUCCACCUGAAGCCCCAUCAGCUCCGCCUGCCCUACAGAACUACAGACAACAGGUUUUCUACUUCUAACUGGACAAAUAACAGACAGACAUGGAUGGCCAGAAGCACGUGGAGAUCAUGGAGAGGAAACAGCAGGGAGGAAGGAACAGAAGAGGAGGG